CCUACGCGGCGCAGCAGUGGGGAAUAUUGGACAAUGGGCGAAAGCCUGAUCCAGCCAUGCCGCGUGUGUGAAGAAGGCCUUCGGGUUGUAAAGCACUUUCAGUGGGGAAGAAAGCCUUGGGGCUAAUACCCUCGAGGAAGGACAUCACCCACAGAAGAAGCACCGGCUAACUCCGUGCCAGCAGCCGCGGUAAUACGGAGGGUGCGAGCGUUAAUCGGAAUUACUGGGCGUAAAGCGCGCGUAGGCGGUCUGAUAAGCCGGUUGUGAAAGCCCCGGGCUCAACCUGGGAACGGCAUCCGGAACUGUCAGGCUAGAGUGCAGGAGAGGAAGGUAGAAUUCCCGGUGUAGCGGUGAAAGGCGUAGAGAUCGGGAGGAAUACCAGUGGCGAAGGCGGCCUUCUGGACUGACACUGACGCUGAGGUGCGAAAGCGUGGGUAGCAAACAGGAUUAGAUACCCUGGUAGUC
This 465-nucleotide ribosomal RNA is filed under the name Vreelandella stevensii. Its description in RNAcentral is "partial 16S ribosomal RNA". It matches the Rfam family "Bacterial small subunit ribosomal RNA", at positions 338 to 795 of the family's 1533-position model. The record is from RNAcentral. Lineage: Bacteria; Pseudomonadati; Pseudomonadota; Gammaproteobacteria; Oceanospirillales; Halomonadaceae.